This 370-nucleotide ribosomal RNA is filed under the name uncultured bacterium. RNAcentral's name for it is "bacterial SSU rRNA". It matches the Rfam family "Bacterial small subunit ribosomal RNA", at positions 527 to 896 of the family's 1533-position model. The record is from RNAcentral.
AGAGGGUGCAAGCGUUAAUCGGAAUUACUGGGCGUAAAGCGUGCGCAGACGGUUGCGUAAGUCAGAUGUGAAAGCCCCGGGCUCAACCUGGGAAUUGCAUUUGAGACUGCGUAGCUAGGGUGCGGAAGGGGGAAGCGGAAUUUCCGGUGUAGCGGUGAAAUGCGUAGAUAUCGGAAGGAACACCAGUGGCGAAAGCGGCUUCCUGGUCCAGCACCGACGUUCAGGCACGAAAGCGUGGGGAGCAAACAGGAUUAGAUACCCUGGUAGUCCACGCCAUAAACGAUGAGAACUAGACGUUGAAGGGGUAAGCCCUCCAGUGUCGUAGCUAACGCGCUAAGUUCUCCGCCUGGGGAGUACGGCCGCAAGGUGG